CCUACGGGUGGCUGCAGUGAGGAAUAUUGGUCAAUGGACGAGAGUCUGAACCAGCCAAGUAGCGUGAAGGAUGACUGCCCUAUGGGUUGUAAACUUCUUUUAUAUGGGAAUAAAAUGUUCCACGUGUGGGAUUUUGUAUGUACCAUAUGAAUAAGGAUCGGCUAACUCCGUGCCAGCAGCCGCGGUAAUACGGAGGAUCCGAGCGUUAUCCGGAUUUAUUGGGUUUAAGGGGAGCGUAGGUGGAUUGUUAAGUCAGUGGUGAAAUUUUGCGGCUCAACCGUGAAAUUGCAUUUGAAACUGGCAGUCUUGAGUACAGUAGAGGUGGGCGGAAUUCGUGGUGUAGCGGUGAAAUGCGUAGAUAUCACGAAGAACUCCGAUUGCGAAGGCAGCUCACUGGACUGCAACUGACACUGAGGCUCGAAAGUGUGGGUAGCAAACAGGAUUAGAUACCCCUGUAGUC
RNAcentral lists this ribosomal RNA (460 nucleotides) under uncultured bacterium. RNAcentral describes it as "partial 16S ribosomal RNA". It matches the Rfam family "Bacterial small subunit ribosomal RNA", at positions 338 to 795 of the family's 1533-position model. The record is from RNAcentral.